GAUGAACGCUAGCUACAGGCUUAACACAUGCAAGUCGAGGGGCAGCAUGGUCUUAGCUUGCUAAGGCCGAUGGCGACCGGCGCACGGGUGAGUAACGCGUAUCCAACCUGCCUUACACUCUUGGACAGCCUUCUGAAAGGGAGAUUAAUACAAGAUGUUAUCAUGAGUAAGCAUUUUCGCAUGAUUAAAGGUUUACCGGUGUAAGAUGGGGAUGCGUUCCAUUAGAUAGUAGGCGGGGUAACGGCCCACCUAGUCUUCGAUGGAUAGGGGUUCUGAGAGGAAGGUCCCCCACAUUGGAACUGAGACACGGUCCAAACUCCUACGGGAGGCAGCAGUGAGGAAUAUUGGUCAAUGGACGAGAGUCUGAACCAGCCAAGUAGCGUGAAGGAUGAAUGUUCUAUGGAUUGUAAACUUCUUUUAUACGGGAAUAAACUAAUCCACGUGUGGAUUUUUGCAUGUACCGUAUGAAUAAGGAUCGGCUAACUCCGUGCCAGCAGCCGCGGUAAUACGGAGGAUCCGAGCGUUAUCCGGAUUUAUUGGGUUUAAAGGGAGCGUAGAUGGGUUGUUAAGUCAGUUGUGAAAGUUUGCGGCUCAACCGUAAAAUUGCAAUUGAUACUGGCAGUCUUGAGUACAGUUGAGGUAGGCGGAAUUCGUGGUGUAGCGGUGAAAUGCUUAGAUAUCACGAAGAACUCCGAUUGCGAAGGCAGCUUACUAACCUGUAACUGACAUUGAUGCUCGAAAGUGUGGGUAUCAUACAGGAUUAGAUACCCUGGUAGUCCACACGGUAAACGAUGAAUACUCGUUGUAGGCGAUAUACAGUCUGCGGCCAAGAGAAAGCAUUAAGUAUUCCACCUGGGGAGUACGCCGGCAACGGUGAAACUCAAAGGAAUAGACGGGGGCCCGCACAAGCGGAGGAACAUGUGGUUUAAUUCGUUGAUACGCGAGGAACCUCACCCGGGCUUAAAUUGCAACCGAAUAUGGCGGAAACGCUCUAGCUAGCACUAGCGGUUGUGAAGGUGGUGCAUGGUUGUUGUCAGCUCGUGCCGUGAGGUGUUGGCUUAAGUGCCAUAACGAGGGCAACCCUUGCCGAUAGUUACUAACCGGUUUUGGUGAGGACUUUGUCCGGACUGCCAUUGUAAGAUGUGAGGAAGGUGGGGAUGACGUCAAAUCAGCCCGGCCCUUACGUCCGGGGGUACACACGUGUUACAAUGGGGGGGUACAGAGGGCUGCUACCACGCAAGUGGAUGCCAAUCCCAAAAACCUCUCUCAGUUCGGAUUGAAGUCUGCAACCCGACUUCAUGAAGCUGGAUUCGCUAGUAAUCGCGCAUCAGCCACGGCGCGGUGAAUACGUUCCCGGGCCU
This 1361-nucleotide ribosomal RNA is filed under the name uncultured bacterium. RNAcentral describes it as "bacterial SSU rRNA". It matches the Rfam family "Bacterial small subunit ribosomal RNA", at positions 28 to 1381 of the family's 1533-position model. The record is from RNAcentral.